RNAcentral lists this ribosomal RNA (317 nucleotides) under Klebsiella pneumoniae. RNAcentral describes it as "bacterial SSU rRNA". It matches the Rfam family "Bacterial small subunit ribosomal RNA", at positions 480 to 796 of the family's 1533-position model. Lineage: Bacteria; Pseudomonadati; Pseudomonadota; Gammaproteobacteria; Enterobacterales; Enterobacteriaceae. The record is from RNAcentral.
UGACUAAGAAGCCCCGGCUAACUACGUGCCAGCAGCCGCGGUAAUACGUAGGGGGCAAGCGUUAUCCGGAUUUACUGGGUGUAAAGGGAGCGUAGACGGCAGCGCAAGUCUGGAGUGAAAUGCCGGGGCCCAACCCCGGAACUGCUCUGGAAACUGUGAAGCUGGAGUGCAGGAGAGGUAAGCGGAAUUCCUGGUGUAGCGGUGAAAUGCGUAGAUAUCAGGAGGAACACCGGCGGCGAAGGCGGCUUACUGGACUGUAACUGACGUUGAGGCUCGAAGGCGUGGGGAGCAAACAGGAUUAGAUACCCUAGUAGUCC